RNAcentral lists this small nuclear RNA (190 nucleotides) under Castor canadensis (American beaver). Its description in RNAcentral is "U2 spliceosomal RNA (ENSCCNG00000023954.1)". It matches the Rfam family "U2 spliceosomal RNA". Rfam says of the family: U2 is a small nuclear RNA (snRNA) component of the spliceosome (involved in pre-mRNA splicing). Complementary binding between U2 snRNA (in an area lying towards the 5' end but 3' to hairpin I) and the branchpoint sequence (BPS) of the intron results the bulging out of an unpaired adenosine, on the BPS, which initiates a nucleophilic attack at the intronic 5' splice site, thus starting the first of two transesterification reactions that mediate splicing. The record is from Rfam by way of RNAcentral. Lineage: Eukaryota; Metazoa; Chordata; Mammalia; Rodentia; Castoridae.
GUCGCUUCUUGGCCUUUUGGCUAAGAUCAAGUACAGUAUUUGUUCUUGUCAGUUUAAUAUCUAUGUGUCCUCUGUCCGAGGGCAGUGUAUUAAAUGGGUUUUUGGAGCAUAGAGAUGGAAUAGGAGCUUGCUUUGGUCACUGUGAGUAUCAGCCUGGUAUUACAGUAACUCCAGGAACUGUGCACUCCUU